GAAUAUUAGGACAAUAGGGCGCAAGCCUGAUCCAGCAAUACCGCGUGUGUGAAGAAGGCCUGAGGGUUGUAAAGCACUUUCAAUUGGGAGGAAAACCUACCGGUCAAUACCCGGCAGCUUGACAUUACCUUUAGAAGAAGCACCGGCUAACUCCGUGCCAGCAGCCGCGGUAAUACGGAGGGUGCGAGCGUUAAUCGGAAUUACUGGGCGUAAAGCGUGCGUAGGCGGUUAUUUAAGUCAGAUGUGAAAGCCCCGGGCUUAACCUGGGAACUGCAUUUGAUACUGGGUAACUAGAGUUUAGUAGAGGAGAGUGGAAUUUCAGGUGUAGCGRUGAAAUGCGUAGAGAUCUGAAGGAACACCAGU
This 363-nucleotide ribosomal RNA is filed under the name uncultured Methylobacter sp. Its description in RNAcentral is "bacterial SSU rRNA". It matches the Rfam family "Bacterial small subunit ribosomal RNA", at positions 359 to 713 of the family's 1533-position model. The record is from RNAcentral. Lineage: Bacteria; Pseudomonadati; Pseudomonadota; Gammaproteobacteria; Methylococcales; Methylococcaceae.